RNAcentral lists this ribosomal RNA (253 nucleotides) under uncultured bacterium. RNAcentral's name for it is "partial 16S ribosomal RNA". It matches the Rfam family "Bacterial small subunit ribosomal RNA", at positions 524 to 776 of the family's 1533-position model. The record is from RNAcentral.
UACGUAGGGGGCAAGCGUUGUCCGGAUUUAUUGGGCGUAAAGAGCGUGUAGGCGGCUGGGUAGGUCCGCUGUGAAGACUCGAGGCUUAACCUCGAGACGUCGGUGGAAACCAUCCAGCUAGAGUCCGGAAGAGGAGAGUGGAAUUCCUGGUGUAGCGGUGAAAUGCGCAGAUAUCGGGAGGAACACCAGUGGCGAAGGCGACUUCCUGGCCUGUUCUUGACGCUGAGGCGCGAAAGCUAGGGUAGCAAACGGG